CAUCGGUAGCUUCGCAACUUUGAUUUAUGAACCCCGCCAGGAUCGGAAGGUAGCAACGGUAGUAAUCCCAAAGUGUGCCGAAGAUGUGCUGGUGAAG
Molecule: signal recognition particle RNA, 97 nt
Filed under: Moraxella nonliquefaciens
Lineage: Bacteria; Pseudomonadati; Pseudomonadota; Gammaproteobacteria; Moraxellales; Moraxellaceae
Description: signal recognition particle sRNA small type
Rfam family: Bacterial small signal recognition particle RNA
About the family: The signal recognition particle (SRP) is a universally conserved ribonucleoprotein involved in the co-translational targeting of proteins to membranes.
Source: RNAcentral